This 692-nucleotide long non-coding RNA is filed under the name Mus musculus (house mouse). RNAcentral's name for it is "growth arrest specific 5". The stretch from base 327 to 410 matches the Rfam family "Small nucleolar RNA SNORD79". The record is from RNAcentral. Lineage: Eukaryota; Metazoa; Chordata; Mammalia; Rodentia; Muridae.
GCCUUUCGGAGCUGUGCGGCAUUCUGAGCAGGAAUGGCAGUGUGGACCUCUGUGAUGGGACAUCUUGUGGGAUCUCACAGCCAGUUCUGUGGCAAAGGAGGAUGAAGGCUUACGAGGACUCGUCAGGAAGCUGGAUAACAGAGCGAGCGCAAUGUGCUAGAAUAGAAGACCAGAAAAUGAAAUGGUGGAGUUUGAGGCUGGAUAGACAGUUUGAAAGUUAACUGGUUGCAUGCUUGUUCAUUUGGCUGGCUUGCUUGGGUACAAAUAAUGGUUUGAAUAAAGAAAGGUAAGCAUUGUAAGUUUGGUAUUUACUAUAUGAAUUAAGGUACUGUUAGUGAUGAUCAAUAAAGUUAAACAGAUGGGAAUCUCUCUGAAUAAGAUUGAAGAUUGAUUGUUAAGCUGAAACAGUAUUUAAGGACAUCAGUAAAUAUACUUUACAAAUACAUAUUUCUAAACGGAGUGUAAUUUCUUACAGGUAUUAAUGGGUCACCUCAAGUGAAGGCACUGCAAACACAAUGAUUGGUCAUUCUGAAUUUCCGGUCCUUCAUUCUGAAUUUCAAAGGCUCCUGUGACAAGUGGACAUGCAGUGACUGCACCUUUGUUUCUGAGGUGCCUGGAUGGAGGCUCAAAUAGAAGAUGGUGUCAGAUAUAUUGUGUUAAAAUUUUACCAUUAAAGUGUAUUAUAACAUGAA